AUACGGGGGGAGCAGGCGUUGUUCGGAAUCACUGGGCGUAAAGAGAUCGUAGGUGGUUUAUCAAGUCGGAUGUGAAAUCCCGGGGCUCAACCCCGGAACUGCAUUCGAUACUGGUAGACUUGAGUUCGGGAGGGGGAUGCGGAAUUCCGCGUGUAGCAGUGAAAUGCGUAGAUAUGCGGAGGAACACCAGAGGCGAAGGCGGCAUCCUGGACCGAUACUGACACUGAGGAUCGAAAGCGUGGGUAGCAAACAGGAUUAGAUACCCCAGUAGUCC
This 274-nucleotide ribosomal RNA is filed under the name uncultured bacterium. Its description in RNAcentral is "partial 16S ribosomal RNA". It matches the Rfam family "Bacterial small subunit ribosomal RNA", at positions 523 to 796 of the family's 1533-position model. The record is from RNAcentral.